RNAcentral lists this ribosomal RNA (465 nucleotides) under Vreelandella stevensii. Its description in RNAcentral is "partial 16S ribosomal RNA". It matches the Rfam family "Bacterial small subunit ribosomal RNA", at positions 338 to 795 of the family's 1533-position model. The record is from RNAcentral. Lineage: Bacteria; Pseudomonadati; Pseudomonadota; Gammaproteobacteria; Oceanospirillales; Halomonadaceae.
CCUACGGGCGGCUGCAGUGGGGAAUAUUGGACAAUGGGGGCAACCCUGAUCCAGCCAUGCCGCGUGUGUGAAGAAGGCCCUCGGGUUGUAAAGCACUUUCAGUGAGGAAGAACGCCUGGUGGUUAAUACCCAUCAGGAAAGACAUCACUCACAGAAGAAGCACCGGCUAACUCCGUGCCAGCAGCCGCGGUAAUACGGAGGGUGCGAGCGUUAAUCGGAAUUACUGGGCGUAAAGCGCGCGUAGGUGGCUUGAUAAGCCGGUUGUGAAAGCCCCGGGCUCAACCUGGGAACGGCAUCCGGAACUGUCAAGCUAGAGUGCAGGAGAGGACGGUAGAAUUCCCGGUGUAGCGGUGAAAUGCGUAGAGAUCGGGAGGAAUACCAGUGGCGAAGGCGGCCUUCUGGACUGACACUGACACUGAGGUGCGAAAGCGUGGGUAGCAAACAGGAUUAGAUACCCUAGUAGUC